Non-coding RNA from Callithrix jacchus (white-tufted-ear marmoset), 1876 nucleotides. The record is from RefSeq and is a predicted model, not a curated record. NCBI's taxonomy places the organism in Eukaryota, Metazoa, Chordata, Mammalia, Primates, Cebidae.
UCCCCCACACCAGCCCCCAACACCCUCUAGCUGCAUUAGGCAGAUGGCAGGAGAAUUAAGCUUGCUGCCAGAGACCACAAGGCCUGCAGGGGCAGGAGAAGCAGUGAGCAGAUUAAGCCCUGGAUCCUCUGCCCCCUAAAAGCCCCUGACCCAUUUCUCUGUCGGGAAAGGAAACUGCUGUGAGGGACACCCAAUGGGAACAGUGAAGAGAUGGCCUGCCCCAUCCUGUGCUAAGGGACCCAGGCUCGUUCUAAGACGCCGCAAGGUGGGCUCCUUUCCUUUGCGGCCCCUCGGCCGUCCGGGGUCUUGGAACUGGUGUUUGGGGUCUUCCUUUUUAACCGACAGGGACAUCAGGGGAUACAUGUGCAUUAACAGAGAGCCACGCGGUUAAGGUGUCAACCACAGGUGCUUUUCCUACGACACAUAAAAUUCCACCAUCCUCUCCGCCGUCCCGCCCCCGCCUCCACCGCAGGUUUCUCAGGUUUCAACAGCACGGACUCCAGUCCAAUGCAGUGCCGCCACAUCAGAGACAACAGGUGUUUCAGAAAAAGGGACCGGGGGCUAUCUCGAGACCUCGCACAUGGGCACAAGGGGCGGUGGGUAGUGAAUGGACUUUGGCCAAAGGAUGGGCCGGGAAGAACGAAGAGUCACCUCCUGGGAAGAGAGGAGAGUUCCGAGCACCAGCGGAGUCUUGCAAAGUGAAGGUCUGGGCUGUCCCGGCCCAGUUGGGCCAGAAACUAAGCUUCCUAAAGACCACGCAGGCAGGAACUCGGGGGCCUGCCCCAUCCUGUGCUAAGGGACCCAGGCUUGUUCUAAGACGCCGCAAGGUGGGCUCCUUUCCUUUGCGGCCCCUCGGCCGUCCGGGGUCUUGGAACUGGUGUUUGGGGUCUUCCUUUUUAACCGACCAACAGAGGCAGGCUAAGUGCCAGGACCAGCUUCCACCGGCCAGAGGUGCUUCCCGGCCCGCUGGGCAAGGACGCGGGGGCUCGGGCAGGGUCUGAGGGAGACCUGGGAUGGGCGGGGACGGUAAGGACAGCAGGUGACAAGUCGCGCCCCAAGCGAAGCUCUCGGCUCCGGGGUCGUUAGCGACCCAGGUUCCCCCAGAGUCCAGCUGGUCUCCUGCGGCACUUACGCGCUCUUGGGUCCACCGCCGGGCAGAAUCGAAACUUUCUGGGGCCAAGCGGAAGCGGACGGGACCGCGGUGCCGACGGCCAUGACGCGCACACCCGGCGGUUGGCGGGUGCGGACUACAACUCCCGGCGUGCUCCCCGGGGCUGAGGCCUACAACUCCCAUGUGACUCUGCAGGGCAGGGGAGAACGAUUCCCACAGCCCAGUCCCUAGACUGCCUGUCUCACCCGGACCCUAGCAGGCCCCAGGUUAACCCUUGCAAUUCCGGAGGGCCACAAAUCAAAUGUCUGGCAGACGCCUGACAGCAACGCUGUUCUUGGGUGGCUAAGGAGCAUUCCAAAGGUGGCUAGUUCGAACUGGACUGUGCACAUGCUCUAAGUGUGAAAUACACCUGCGUGCUAAAUAAUCCAAAGAAAGAAUGUAAACUAGCUCAUUAAUUUUUGGUGAUUGCAUGUUAAAAUGAUAAUAUUUUGAUGUACUGGAAAAUAGAAAAACAUAUUGGCGGGCCUUAUUUCCCAUAUUUUAAUCCCCCUUACUUCUUAAUAUCAGGGGCUUACUUAAAAUUAGUUCUCAAAAACUGUGUGUUUAUGAACUACCACUCCUAACUUUGGCCCCAUCCCCAGCCCAACUUCUGUUUAUAAGUUGGGUGUUGCAAAGCACUGAAACGGAAUACGAUAGAACAAAACACAUUCAAUUAAUGUCUGCUAUGGGGCCAGUAGAAAAAAUAAAUGGUACAUGGGGACUUUG